This 214-nucleotide unclassified non-coding RNA is filed under the name fungal sp. Its description in RNAcentral is "partial internal transcribed spacer region". The stretch from base 1 to 46 matches the Rfam family "Eukaryotic small subunit ribosomal RNA", at positions 1786 to 1831 of the family's 1831-position model. The record is from RNAcentral. Lineage: Eukaryota; Fungi.
AAGUCGUAACAAGGUAUCCGUAGGUGAACCUGCGGAUGGAUCAUUACUAAAGUAUCCAUCCUACGUUUUGUGAACUGUUUUGGGUUUGAUAGUCAGUGUCCGGUGUGCUGUAAUGGCUGCUGACACUGACUACACUGAAUGUAUACUAAACUGACUGAGAGACUACCAUUGUAGUAACCAAAGAGAACUUUUAGCAACGGAUCUCUUGGCUCUC